This 380-nucleotide ribosomal RNA is filed under the name uncultured cyanobacterium. RNAcentral's name for it is "bacterial SSU rRNA". It matches the Rfam family "Bacterial small subunit ribosomal RNA", at positions 376 to 770 of the family's 1533-position model. The record is from RNAcentral. Lineage: Bacteria; Bacillati; Cyanobacteriota.
CGCAAGCCUGACGGAGCAAUACCGCGUGAGGGAGGAAGGUUCUUGGAUUGUAAACCUCUUUUCUCAGGGAAGAAAAAAAUGACGGUACCUGAGGAAUAAGCAUCGGCUAACUCCGUGCCAGCAGCCGCGGUAAUACGGGGGAUGCAAGCGUUAUCCGGAAUCAUUGGGCGUAAAGCGUCCGCAGGUGGCAAUGUAAGUCUGCUGUCAAAACCCAGGGCUCAACUCUGGUCAGGCAGUGGAAACUACAUAGCUAGAGUUCGGUAGGGGCAAAGGGAAUUCCCGGUGUAGCGGUGAAAUGCGUAGAGAUCGGGAAGAACAUCGGUGGCGAAAGCGCUUUGCUAGACCGAAACUGACACUCAGGGACGAAAGCUAGGGGAGCG